AUACUUACCCUACCGGAAAGAUAUUGGAUCAUAAAGGUGCCUUUCCCAUUCUGAGGCCCAUUCAUUGUGCUCUGAUUGUGCUGACCCCUGUAAUUUCCCCAAAUAUGGAAAAAUCUACUUCUCAAUUUGUGAUAGUGGGAGAGUGAGGGAGGGCUACAUUCAUACCUGCCUUCAG
Small nuclear RNA from Erinaceus europaeus (western European hedgehog), 175 nucleotides. Its record names the gene U1. It matches the Rfam family "U1 spliceosomal RNA". Rfam says of the family: U1 is a small nuclear RNA (snRNA) component of the spliceosome (involved in pre-mRNA splicing). Its 5' end forms complementary base pairs with the 5' splice junction, thus defining the 5' donor site of an intron. There are significant differences in sequence and secondary structure between metazoan and yeast U1 snRNAs, the latter being much longer (568 nucleotides as compared to 164 nucleotides in human). Lineage: Eukaryota; Metazoa; Chordata; Mammalia; Eulipotyphla; Erinaceidae. The record is from Ensembl.